Molecule: transfer RNA, 72 nt
Filed under: Camelus bactrianus (Bactrian camel)
Lineage: Eukaryota; Metazoa; Chordata; Mammalia; Artiodactyla; Camelidae
Also listed under: 3 other names
Rfam family: tRNA
About the family: Transfer RNA (tRNA) molecules are approximately 80 nucleotides in length. Their secondary structure includes four short double-helical elements and three loops (D, anti-codon, and T loops).
Source: Rfam by way of RNAcentral
GAGGGUAUAGCUCAGUGGUAGAGUACUUGCCUAGCAUGCACAAGGUCCUGGGUUCAAUCCUCAGCACCUCCA